This 580-nucleotide ribosomal RNA is filed under the name uncultured bacterium. RNAcentral's name for it is "bacterial SSU rRNA". It matches the Rfam family "Bacterial small subunit ribosomal RNA", at positions 102 to 674 of the family's 1533-position model. The record is from RNAcentral.
ACGGGGUAGGAAUACGUAGGUAACGUACCCUCGGGGCGAGGACAGCCACGGGAAACUGUGGGUAAUACUCGAUAAACUUCCCAAUCAUUAUCGGAGGGGAAGCAAUGGGUGUGACUCCACCUGAGGAGCGGCUUACGCAGUAUCAGCUAGUUGGUGAGGUAACGGCUCACCAAGGCUACGACGCUUAGGGGGUGUGAGAGCAUGGCCCCCACCACUGGCACUGAGACACUGGCCAGACACCUACGGGUGGCUGCAGUCGAGAAUCUUCGGCAAUGGACGCAAGUCUGACCGAGCGACGCCGCGUGUGGGAUGAAGGCCUUCGGGUUGUAAACCACUGUCAGAGGGGAUGAAGUGUACGAGAGUUAUCUCUUGUAUUUGACAGAGCCUCAGAGGAAGCACGGGCUAAGUUCGUGCCAGCAGCCGCGGUAAUACGAACUGUGCGAACGUUAUUCGGAAUCACUGGGCUUAAAGGGUGCGUAGGCGGUUAUCUAAGUCAGGUGUGAAAUCUCUCGGCUCAACCGGGAAACUGCGCUUGAAACUGGAUGACUGGAGUGAUGCAGGGGUGUGUGGAACUUCCGGU